RNAcentral lists this ribosomal RNA (93 nucleotides) under Marinomonas sp. TW1. Lineage: Bacteria; Pseudomonadati; Pseudomonadota; Gammaproteobacteria; Oceanospirillales; Oceanospirillaceae. The record is from RNAcentral.
CUUGACGAUCAUAGAGGCGUUGAACCACCUGAUCCCAUCCCGAACUCAGCAGUGAAAAGCGCCAUCGCCGAUGGUAGUGUGGGGGAUCCCAUG